GGGCGGUUAGCUCAGUUGGCUAGAGCGUCACGUUGACAUCGUGGAGGCCAGAGGUUCAAAUCCUCUACCGCCCA
Molecule: transfer RNA, 74 nt
Filed under: Candidatus Omnitrophota bacterium
Lineage: Bacteria; Pseudomonadati; Candidatus Omnitrophota
Also listed under: 1 other name
Description: Candidatus Omnitrophica bacterium tRNA-Val
Rfam family: tRNA
About the family: Transfer RNA (tRNA) molecules are approximately 80 nucleotides in length. Their secondary structure includes four short double-helical elements and three loops (D, anti-codon, and T loops). Further hydrogen bonds mediate the characteristic L-shaped molecular structure. tRNAs have two regions of fundamental functional importance: the anti-codon, which is responsible for specific mRNA codon recognition, and the 3' end, to which the tRNAs corresponding amino acid is attached (by aminoacyl-tRNA synthetases). tRNAs cope with the degeneracy of the genetic code in two manners: having more than one tRNA (with a specific anti-codon) for a particular amino acid; and 'wobble' base-pairing, i.e. permitting non-standard base-pairing at the 3rd anti-codon position.
Source: RNAcentral